RNAcentral lists this long non-coding RNA (242 nucleotides) under Carica papaya (papaya). RNAcentral describes it as "long non-coding RNA (CPAP_LNC012706)". The record is from RNAcentral. Lineage: Eukaryota; Viridiplantae; Streptophyta; Magnoliopsida; Brassicales; Caricaceae.
GCCUUGGCUAGGACAGCCGAAUAAGUGCUGAGCUCAAGCACAAACAACUGUUGUCUGAUCUCAGGACAGAGACCCCACUCGAACCUUCUAGCCUUCCUGCCUUUAUCCGUCAUGCUCUCCGGGGAAUACUGGCCCAACUCUAGGAACUUGGAAGCAUAUUCUGAUACAGUCAUGUUCCCCUAUACCAAGUGUGCAAACUCCAUCUCCUUUAGAUGUCCGAGAUGCUUCGAGAGGUACUCUGC